AUCUUGAAAACGGAAAAUAAAAACAGCAGACCUAUGAAGGUCGAAGGGGAAGAAAAGCUGUAUCGAUUGUUGAGAUCUGGCGACUUGUUUAAAUUUCAUCAGCCUCACUUCUAUGAACUCUCAGGGUCCUCGUAAGAACUUCCAUUUUAUGUUCUUGUCUUCUCAUCAGUUUGAGUUGUGUCUUUAACAUUGGAGAGAAAAACAACUUGCAAGAUUUUCUUUCAGUAUGAACCAUUCUGAGGUCCUUCAAUUCUUUAGCUGAUUACCAACUCCUACCACUGUUAACCCUCAUCCAGGAACAAGCUUAUGUCUUUAACAUUCUGAGUGGGCUUCAGCAUCCUUGCAUAUGUUCAAUUCUUAAAAACCUGUUGAAAUAAAAGAUCAGGAGACAUAGGAAGGAUGCCAGAAGAGAGCGUGGCCUCACGUGUACCAGCUCUCUGCUCUCCUUUGCCUUGGGACGUUCCAUCCCUGGAAGUUUCCCUGCCCACAUCUUUGUAGAGAGUCCAUUCUCCAAGCUUCAGUGUGUCAUCUGUGAGGACCGUGACCCACCUGGUACAUCGCCUCAGGGCAUUCAUUUCAGGCUCCUUCUAAAUGGCCAAGUUUUCAAGAUUGUUUUGGCUCUAGCAAAACAAGUUGGAACAUUCACAUCAUCCAUCUUCUGCCAGCCUAACAAGCAUAGCAAGAAGAUAUAGCCCCACAACCACUUUAUGCACAAAGUUAGAAGCAUAAAAUCUCAUGGAAGGAGACCGAUUAUCUACAGAAGAGGUUGUCUUGCCAUUUCUCUCAUGUUAGAGGUAAACCUCAGGUUCUCCUCCUGCCUUUUGCUAAGUAUAUGUCUUGAUGACAAGCCUUCUGCUGAUGAGCUGUGUUUCUGGACCGAUC
Molecule: long non-coding RNA, 882 nt
Filed under: Homo sapiens (human)
Lineage: Eukaryota; Metazoa; Chordata; Mammalia; Primates; Hominidae
Description: testis expressed 41
Source: RNAcentral